Molecule: ribosomal RNA, 1495 nt
Filed under: metagenome
Description: bacterial LSU rRNA
Rfam family: Bacterial large subunit ribosomal RNA
Source: RNAcentral
CUAACGCGUUAUUACCGAUGGGGUGACGCAUGGAGCAGAAUUUAGCCACUGAUGGAUGUGGCGGAUUGCGCGUAAGAUGUACAGGUGGCAAAUCCCCUGUACGCAUAUCUGAGACGCAGGACCUUUUGAGGGCUUCGGCCCAAAGAAGAGUAAUUCCGGUCUGUGCCAGGAAAAACCUCUAAGGGAGAUUUAUUUGUGCCCGUACCGUAAACCGACACAGGUAGACGAGGCGAAUAGCCUAAGGUGCUCGAGACAACUCGGGAGAAGGAACUCGGCAAAUUAACCCCGUAACUUCGGGAUAAGGGGAGCCUCCAUUUGUUAGUGUGAACAGCACAAAGCAUAAGGAGGCCGCAGAGAAAUGGCAGAAGCGACUGUUUACCAAAAACACAGGGCUAUGCAAACCCGUAAGGGAAAGUAUAUAGUCUGACACGUGCCCGGUGCUGGAAGGUUAACAGGAGAUGUCAGCGCAAGCGAAGCAUUGAAUCGAAGCCCCAGUAAACGGCGGCCGUAACAAUAACGGUCCUAAGGUAGCGAAAUUCCUUGUCGGGUAAGUUCCGACCUGCACGAAUCGUGUAACGACUUCUGCACUGUCUCCUCCCGGGACUCGGCGAAAUUGCAGUGUCGGUGAAGAUGCCGACAACCCGCACCUGGACGGAAAGACCCCAUGAACCUUCACUGUAUUUUGACAUUGGUUUUAGGCUUGACAUGUGUAGGAUAGGUGGGAGGCUUUGAAGCGGUGACGCCAGUCAUCGUGGAGCCAUCCUUGAAAUACCACCCUUGUCCGGUUUGAGAUCUAACCGUGGCCCGUCAUCCGGGUCCGGGACCGUGUCUGAUGGUCAGUUUGACUGGGGCGGUCGCCUCCUAAAUGGUAACGGAGGCAUCCAAUGGUUCCCUCAGCGCGGUCGGUAAUCGCGCGUAGAGCAUAAAGGCAUAAGGGAGCUUGACUGCGAGACAGACAUGUCGAGCAGGUACGAAAGUAGGGCUUAGUGAUCCCGCGGUACAGCGUGGAACGGCCGUUGCUCAAUGGAUAAAAGGUACUCUGGGGAUAACAGGCUGAUCUCCCCCAAGCGUUCAUAGCGACGGGGAGGUUUUGGCACCUCGAUGUCGGCUCGUCGCAUCCUGGGGCUGGAGAAGGUCCCAAGGGUUUGGCUGUUCGCCAAUUAAAGCGGCACGCGAGCUGGGUUCAGAACGUCGUGAGACAGUUCGGUCCCUAUCCGGUGUGGGCGCACGAAAUUUGAGGGAACCUGUCCUUAGUACGAGAGGACCGGGACGGACGCACCUCUGGUGUACCGGCUGUCACGCCAGUGGCAUUGCCGGGUAGCUAUGUGCGGAUUGGAGAAACGCUGAAAGCAUCUAAGCGUGAAGCCAUUCCCAAGAUUAGAUUUCGCGGGGGCAACCCCCUAAAGGAUCGUUAGAGACCAUAACGUUGAUAGGUCACAGGUGUAAGCAUAGCGAUAUGUUGAGCCGAGUGAUACUAAUAGUCCGUGAGGCUUCC